UCUACAUAUUGGUCAGGGAUGGGAAACUCCAGUCCUUAGGGGCCUGAUUGGUGGCACACUUUUGCCCCAGUCUUAGCUCACACACACCUGACUCCAAUAAUCAACUAAUCAUGGUAUUCUGUUUAGAAUACAAUUAGUUUGAGACCAGACCAGAGCUGACCAGACCAGAGCUGACCAGACCAGAGCUGACCAGACCAGAGCUGAAGACUUGGGACACGGGACCAGGGAGAAGCAGCAGGGAUGGAGCUUCUCAAAUGAACCGUGUAGCAGAGCCGGUGAGAAGCCAGUCAUCCCUGAUAUACAGUCAAGAGGCAAAGUUAAACAAAUAGCUCCAUCCCCUGACCACCUCAGAUGUUGUUUUUUUUUUUUUUUUUUUUAACACUAUGAAUAAAUGUCAUCAAAAUGAUUGCAUACAAAC
Molecule: long non-coding RNA, 418 nt
Organism: Oncorhynchus gorbuscha (pink salmon)
Lineage: Eukaryota; Metazoa; Chordata; Actinopteri; Salmoniformes; Salmonidae
Exons: 3
Source: RefSeq, a predicted model, not a curated record